AUUGAACGCUGGCGGCAGGCUUAACACAUGCAAGUCGAACGAGUGGCGGACGGGUGUGUAAUGCUUGGGAAUCUAGCUUAUGGAGGGGGAUAACUACGGGAACCUGUAGCUAAUACCGCGUACCAUAGGAUGAGCCCAAGUGGGAUUAGGUAGUUGGGUAGGUAAAGGUUCACAAAGCCGACGAUCUCUAGCUGGUCUGAGAGGAUGACCAGCCACACUGUGACUGAGACACGGCCCAGAAUCCUACGGGAGGCAGCAGUGGGGAAUAUUGCGCAAUGGGGGCAACCUGACGCAGCCAGGCCGCGUGAAUGAAGAAGGCCUGCGGGUUGUAAAGUUCUUUCGGUAGCGAGGCGUUAACAACAGAAGAAGCACCGGCUAACUCCGUGCCAGCAGUCGCGGUAAUAC
This 405-nucleotide ribosomal RNA is filed under the name uncultured bacterium. RNAcentral's name for it is "partial 16S ribosomal RNA". It matches the Rfam family "Bacterial small subunit ribosomal RNA", at positions 30 to 526 of the family's 1533-position model. The record is from RNAcentral.